GAUCCUGGCUCAGGACGAAUGCUGGCGGCGNGCUUAACACAUGCAAGUCGAACGAGAAUCACUGGAAGGAGUUUUCGGACAACGGAAGGUGAGGACAGUGGCGGACGGGUGAGUAACGCGUGAGGAACCUGCCUUUCAGAGGGGGACGGAACAGUUGGUAAACGGAACUGCUAAUAACCGCCAUGACACAUAGAGAUCGCAUGGUUUUUUAGUUUAGUUCAAAGAAUUUAAUUCGUCUGAAAGAAUGGCCGUCCGCGU
RNAcentral lists this ribosomal RNA (258 nucleotides) under uncultured bacterium. RNAcentral's name for it is "partial 16S ribosomal RNA". It matches the Rfam family "Bacterial small subunit ribosomal RNA", at positions 15 to 238 of the family's 1533-position model. The record is from RNAcentral.